UACGUAGGGCGCAAGCGUUGUCCGGAAUUAUUGGGCGUAAAGAGCUCGUAGGCGGUUUGUCGCGUCUGCUGUGAAAGCCCGGGGCUCAACCCCGGGUCUGCAGUGGGUACGGGCAGACUAGAGUGCGGUAGGGGAGAUUGGAAUUCCUGGUGUAGCGGUGGAAUGCGCAGAUAUCAGGAGGAACACCGAUGGCGAAGGCAGAUCUCUGGGCCGUAACUGACGCUGAGGAGCGAAAGCGUGGGGAGCGAACAGG
Molecule: ribosomal RNA, 253 nt
Filed under: uncultured bacterium
Lineage: Bacteria
Description: partial 16S ribosomal RNA
Rfam family: Bacterial small subunit ribosomal RNA
Source: RNAcentral